This 468-nucleotide ribosomal RNA is filed under the name uncultured bacterium. RNAcentral's name for it is "partial 16S ribosomal RNA". It matches the Rfam family "Bacterial small subunit ribosomal RNA", at positions 28 to 507 of the family's 1533-position model. The record is from RNAcentral.
GACGAACGCUGGCGGCGUGCUUAACACAUGCAAGUCGAACGGAAAGGCCCUGCUUUUGUGGGGUGCUCGAGUGGCGAACGGGUGAGUAACACGUGAGUAACCUGCCCUUGUCUUUGGGAUAACUUCAGGAAACUGGGGCUAAUACCGGAUCGGAGCUCCUGCUGCAUGGUGGGGGUUGGAAAGUUUCGGCGGUUGGGGAUGGACUCGCGGCUUAUCAGCUUGUUGGUGGGGUAGUGGCUUACCAAGGCUUUGACGGGUAGCCGGCCUGAGAGGGUGACCGGCCACAAUGGGACUGAGAGACGGCCCAGACUCCUACGGGAGGCAGCAGUGGGGAAUAUUGCACAAUGGGCGGAAGCCUGAUGCAGCAACGCCGCGGGCGGGAUGACGGCCUUCGGGUUGUAAACCGCUUUCGCCUGUGACGAAGCGGGAGUGACGGUAAUGGGUAAAGAAGCACCGGCUAACUACGUG